This is a long non-coding RNA of Daphnia pulex (common water flea), 1171 nucleotides long. RefSeq lists it as uncharacterized. The record is from RefSeq and is a predicted model, not a curated record. NCBI's taxonomy places the organism in Eukaryota, Metazoa, Arthropoda, Branchiopoda, Diplostraca, Daphniidae. The transcript is spliced from 4 exons.
UCCCAGAUCCAACGAGCUUUUCUAUGACCGCCCUCGAAGAAAAAAUCGGCUACGAAUUCUUGGGCAAAACAUUGUUAGGUCGCGCACUGACCCACAGCUCAGCAAAUGUUACGAAAUGCCCAUCUCGAGACGGAGAAAACCUGGAGGUUUUAGGGGAUGCAUCCUUGGAUACCGUUGUUUUGGAUCUUCUUCUGGAUCUAAACCCUCGGUAUAACCAAGGACAGCUAUCUGUCUUGAAGUCGGCUAUAACAUGCAACGACAUGCUAGCUGUUAUCGCGGUCAGAACGGGCCUACAUUUGUUACUGCAACAUCGGCUCCCAGCAAAACAAGUAAAAGAACUCGAAAGUUUUGUGGACCAUCAGAACAAAAACCAUCAUUUAUUCUCGCACGAAAAAGAGACCGAGCCUUUGAGAUUGACUAUCCGAAAGUUUACGCCGAUGCGUUUGAGUCUCUCAUUGGCGCGUUGCGUAUAGAUUGCGAUCGAGAAGACAAGGUCAUCAGAAAAGUUGUCUUAAACCUCAUGGGCGACGUGAUAGGUAGUAGAUUAAAAACUAAUUUAUUGAACUUUUAAUAAUUUUUUUUUAAUAGUUAAAUUCCACACAAACAUUCCCGUCUGCCCACUACAACGUGUGAAUAAAAAUAAGAUCAGGACCGAAUUCAAGGAAGAAAAGAACCUUCCAGACGGAACUGUCAACGUCAUAUUGGAAGUAAAGAAUUUUCAAUCCUUCCACGGUUCCGGACAAUCAUUGAAGUCAGCCAAGACUGCUGCAGCAAAGCUUGCUAUAACGACGAUGCCUUGGUGUCCAACCCAAAACCAAGCACAAGGGAGAAAACACAAACGAACUAAAAGUGACCCCUUAUAUGGGCAGCUUUUAGAGAAGGGGCUGGGCACGGAACACGGAGCGUCCCAUCCUAAUUAUAUUGAUCGGAUUAAAUAACAGUUGCCGCUUUAAAUUUUAUCGUGAUAGGCUCUGCCGUUACUGCACACGACAAAAAAACAUGGAUUCCACUUCUCCCCCACGUCCAAUUACUGUUGCUGAGUACAUCGAGAAGAUGUUAGGAUACCGUUUUACGGACGAGAGUUGGUUGCAUAAGGCAAUUCAACAACCGACGGCGAAUGUAAAAAACGCAGCCAAGGAGGCAGGGAAGUUGGACCUGAUUGGCGAUCGUG